GAAUUUUAAAAAAUCAGGCUAUUCAGUCAUUGUUUCCUUUACGUUUGAGUUAGUUAAGCAUUCUUUCUUUGAAGGACCAGCAACAUGUAUGUGGCUAGAAUUUUAACCUUCGUUUUUCUUGUGGUUGUUAUGCUGAUAACAGUAAAGUCAGUUCCGCUUCAGGUUCAACUGUGUGGGGACAGUGUGUGUGCAGUGGGGGAGCAGUGUCAGGUGUUCUAUCCACCCUGUGCUCCCCCACCCCCCAACUGUGAAACCUGCCAUUCCAACUGUCACCCGAUCUCAAUGUGUGUUGUGCCGGUCUAA
This is a long non-coding RNA of Physella acuta, 303 nucleotides long. RefSeq lists it as uncharacterized. NCBI's taxonomy places the organism in Eukaryota, Metazoa, Mollusca, Gastropoda, Physidae. The record is from RefSeq and is a predicted model, not a curated record.